AUGGGAGAGAUGAGGAGAUGGGAGGAGGAAGGAAGGAACGGGGAGGGACUCACCGACGCGGUGGCACUCGCCGGAGGCUGGCUGGCGGCAGGGUCACACGAAAACGGCGGCACGCGUGUGGCACCCUCCCCGGCGGCGCGAGCAGGAAGGAGGAGGUGCACAGGAGGCGUAGGUGCUACGGUGAGAUGGGCUUCAGAUGUGCAGCCGGCCCUAGCGCUGCAACUUCUGCAUCAGAGAAGGUACAUUGGUGAAAUGCAGCAACCAGAUAAAAGAAAUGCAUUACUCCAUCACCACACUGAUGCUCCAUCUCCCUCUGAUGGCAAGUGCGACCCUGAUGAAGCUGCUCCCCUACAUCAAGGACUACCCCAACAGUGCGGCCUUGAUGGCACAACUCCCAUACACCAAGGACUAGCCCCAUGGUGCGGCCACGACAUCACUGCUCCCCUACACCGCCGACUACAACCUGAGAUCUUAGAACAGGUUUGCAGGUUCAUUGGAACAAAUGUUCAAAAGGAAGAUGCACAGUAA
RNAcentral lists this ribosomal RNA (528 nucleotides) under Triticum aestivum (bread wheat). RNAcentral's name for it is "partial small subunit ribosomal RNA". The record is from RNAcentral. Lineage: Eukaryota; Viridiplantae; Streptophyta; Magnoliopsida; Poales; Poaceae.